GACGGACCGUCCAAGCGUUAUUCGGUAUCACUGGGCUUAAAGCGUGCGUAGGCGGUUCUAAAGGUGGGGUGUGAAAACCCACGGCUCAACCGUGGAAUUGCGGUCCAAACUGUCGGGCUGGAGGAAGGCAGGGGUGAGCGGAACUUAUGGCGGAGCGGUGAAAUGCGUUGAUAUCAUCAGGAACACCAGUGGCGAAAGCGGCUCACUGGACCUUUUCUGACGCUGAGGCACGAAAGCUAGGGGAGCAAACGGG
RNAcentral lists this ribosomal RNA (253 nucleotides) under uncultured bacterium. RNAcentral describes it as "partial 16S ribosomal RNA". It matches the Rfam family "Bacterial small subunit ribosomal RNA", at positions 524 to 776 of the family's 1533-position model. The record is from RNAcentral.